Molecule: long non-coding RNA, 1540 nt
Filed under: Mytilus galloprovincialis (Mediterranean mussel)
Lineage: Eukaryota; Metazoa; Mollusca; Bivalvia; Mytilida; Mytilidae
Source: RNAcentral
CCAACAUAAAAUAAAUAACACACAUUUUUGUCAAAGUCAGAGUUCUAAUACACUUUAACCAGUAAAGCUUGCUUUGAGUUAGCAUCACUGAGGAAAGUCUUAACAAGUUAUCAAAUAAUCAUUUGUCCCAACAGAAUAUAAAUAAUUGUUAAAUGUUGGUCAAAAUGAGUGUGGAAAUUUAACAAAAAAACAUUAACAGGUUAACUGUUCAUGCAAGUAGAAAAUUCUCUUGAUUUGAUCAACAGGUAUUUAAAAUUUUCCGUUGAAACCAAAAUAACUCGAGCAAAUCUAAAUGAAAAUCAAAGCAAUUGCAACUUUCACAUAAACAGCAAUGACUUCAGCACAUAUCAGAAUAACAAACAACCUUAGAAAAUUUCUAAUUUAAUUGACCCUUUUUCAAGGAAAAUAGUUAACACAUAGUGGUUUUUGGUAACUAUAAAAAGAGUAUAUACAUGUAGAUAAGUAAAUAAAAACCUGAAAUUUAACCCUGAUACCAUUUAACUACAAUGUAUAAAAUAAAUAUGCACAAGCUUAUUCACACAACCAUAUCGUUAAUGAGGUAAGUGCUAUACACUCUAAUAGCUGAUGCAUGAUAGGAAAUAGUGAAGAUUAAGAGGACGACUUGAUAUUGCAACCAACUCUUUUUAAAGUACAUCAAUAAAAGUAUAGAUUGCACUCUGCAAAUACAAGCCACACCUCUUUUAGGGAGAUAUAUAAUAUUCAUUGAUAUGUUAAUUUGUUAACAUACUGGUUCCCAGUAAUGAUCUUUGUGUUUCAUCUCACAGACAUAAUUUGGGAAUGUUACCAGAAUACAAAAACAUGAAAGUGUCUAAAAAUUAAUUCUUAGGAGGACCAAAAGUGAUGAUAGGGGUAGUAUAGAAUUUAAGUAACCGUUUAGACUCAUAGAAGUUCAGGGCAUAUAAAUGUUGAAAAUAUGCUGCACAGACAUAUAUUUUGACCUUUGAACAAAAUAGUACCUAGUGCAUAUCAAUCAGGUCAACUUUCCCUUCUGGGGUAUAAUUUUUAACAAAACUUCAUAGCAAAAGUGGCACAGUUUUAGUAGCAAAGGGAGUUCCUAUGGAAAUAGCAUGGUCUAUAUUUACAGAAUUGUAAUUGUAAACAAUGGCUUGAUUUCAACAAAUAAUAAAAAUACCUGGAAUGUUACCAUGUUCAAGACAAUGAAGGUCUAAAUAAAGUAUCAAGGCCUUCUCUUAAAAUUUUAAAAUAGCUUUUUCUGAAACUCCUUAUUCUUUAAGAAAACUUGUAACGCCUUUUAUAUGUAAUUCAAAUCAUCACACAAUAAAUUGUUUAAUUUUUAGACAAAAUAAAUGUUUACUUGUAAGGGAAAUGGUGAGUUGUUCAAUUUUAAUUGUGAAACACUUUUUGGAGUGUUUUGCAUUUAGCAGAAAUCAAAAUGACUGCCUUUUAAGUGAACAUGUCAUAUAGCCCUGCUUUAAAUGAAAAAAGUUUUGAAUUUCACUAUUUCUUUAAUAAUUAUGUAAUUAAUCAUAGUCUAAAAAUAUGGAAUCAUGGGAAAAAA